GGGCAAAAAAUUAUAUUGCCUAGAAGUGUCAAUACUUUGAAUUGGUUGCUAAAGAUUUUACAAUUUUUUUUUAUAUUUUAGGUGGUGAUGACGGUGCAGACAUGUCAAUGGAUGCAGAUGCUUCAUUAGAGGAUUCUCAGUUGAUAGAUGAUGAUGGUCAGUCAAAAGAAGAACCUGAAUUAAAUAGUGGUGCAGGAGAAGCAUAUGUUCCUGAAGAACCAACUACAGAAGAUGAAUCACAAACAAAAGAAGAAGAGGAGGAGGAAUCAAAUGAUCUACAGGAUGAAGAAUGUGAAGGAGGAGGUGAUCAAGAAAUGAAAGAUGAGGAAUCAAAUGAUUUACAGGAUGAAGAAUGUGAAGGA
RNAcentral lists this long non-coding RNA (362 nucleotides) under Androctonus crassicauda. Lineage: Eukaryota; Metazoa; Arthropoda; Arachnida; Scorpiones; Buthidae. The record is from RNAcentral.